UGCCUCGUUAGCUCAAUAGGAUAGAGCAACGCACUUCUAAUGCGUAGGCUACAGGUUCGAGUCCUGUACGGGGCGU
Molecule: transfer RNA, 76 nt
Filed under: Bacillus thuringiensis T01-328
Lineage: Bacteria; Bacillati; Bacillota; Bacilli; Caryophanales; Bacillaceae
Description: tRNA-Arg
Rfam family: tRNA
About the family: Transfer RNA (tRNA) molecules are approximately 80 nucleotides in length. Their secondary structure includes four short double-helical elements and three loops (D, anti-codon, and T loops). Further hydrogen bonds mediate the characteristic L-shaped molecular structure. tRNAs have two regions of fundamental functional importance: the anti-codon, which is responsible for specific mRNA codon recognition, and the 3' end, to which the tRNAs corresponding amino acid is attached (by aminoacyl-tRNA synthetases). tRNAs cope with the degeneracy of the genetic code in two manners: having more than one tRNA (with a specific anti-codon) for a particular amino acid; and 'wobble' base-pairing, i.e. permitting non-standard base-pairing at the 3rd anti-codon position.
Source: RNAcentral